Molecule: ribosomal RNA, 378 nt
Filed under: Potamothrix bedoti
Lineage: Eukaryota; Metazoa; Annelida; Clitellata; Tubificida; Naididae
Description: partial 12S ribosomal RNA
Rfam family: Bacterial small subunit ribosomal RNA
Source: RNAcentral
UCCCCAAAAUAAAAAGACGCCGGAUAAUACAAAUAAAAAUUUAAAAACCAAAGAACUUGGCGGUGUCUUAUACAAUCAGGGGAACCUGUCCCUUAAUACGAUAAUCCACGAACGCCUAAACCCCUCUUGAAUUACAGCCUGUGUACUGCCGUCGCAAGUAUACCUUUAAAAGUUAGCAUACAAAAAUAUAUCUAUCGACGUCAGGUCAAAGUGCAGCCCAUGGGGGGCUGGAGAUGGGUUACACUCUAAACUACUAGCUACCUAGCCUAAUUAAUAAAUAAGACCAAAGCUGGACUUGAAAGUAAUAAAGUACACCUAAACUUUAUGAAUAGGAAUCUAAGACAUGCACACAUCGCCCGUCACUCUCGUCGAAAGAUG